Canis lupus familiaris (dog) is the source of this 1503-nucleotide long non-coding RNA. RefSeq lists it as uncharacterized. The record is from RefSeq and is a predicted model, not a curated record. The transcript is spliced from 2 exons. Lineage: Eukaryota; Metazoa; Chordata; Mammalia; Carnivora; Canidae.
ACUCAAAGUGUGCUUAUAGAUUCAUGAAGUUCCCACACACUGAAAGUUCUUCCUGCGUUGGCGUCCGACAGAGGAUUUAGAACAAAAUAUUGAGCUCCUUUUAAGAAAGUGAACCAGCAGUUUCUCCGUGGAGAGAAGGUUUCCAUUUACCAGAAGAUGACGUCCCCCCGAGGGAAGCGAGCCCUGCUGGUGUCUGAGGCGCUGUCUUCCUCACACAGACUUUGGUGAGGGAGCUCCUUCGGCCAUGUUGUCAUCAGAAUAAGGUUUCUCACUUUAGGCCAUAGGCAACGCACUCAGAGAGUCGUGAACAUUCGAAAAAAGGAAAAUAUUUUUCCAGAUCCUUGAGGCCUUCUGGGCACACAUUUACAACUCCAGAGGUGAAUUACUGACAACAUGAAUCAGUUAUAAAACAAGGUCCUUCCGCAAUAUAAAGUUUUAAAGCUAAAGAAAUGUAUCUUUUUUUUUUCCUCAAGGCAAAUCAAAAUUAAAUUAAAAAAUAAUCAAUUCUGGACAACCAGACUUUUUGUGACAAACGCCCAAGGAUUUAUUACCUUAAAAUGGUGAGACACAAUAAGGGAGUCAGAGAAAAAAAUCCUGACGGUUCCAACCGUUCUGAGAGCCGGUCAUAUUUCUGCUGAGUUUCACAAAACACCCAUAUAUAUUAAUUGUAAAAACUGCCCUGUUUGGCCAAGCAAGUUGAAGUUGGAUUCCCAUGGCCACCUGCAACCAAAACAGCCCGGACUCACAGAGACCUGGAAGGAUUCUGAAACAUUCUCUCAGGAUAAGUUGGGCUACUCUUGGCAGCGAGUGACUGAAUGGAAACUUAAUGAGGUUUCACGCUAUGAGGACACUCCUUAGCUCACGUAACAGGAAGUCUGUUAUGACUGUUGAUGACAUAAGGCAAAAUGACAUCCUCAAGGACCCGGUGCUUUCCAUUUCCGCCCUGCCAACCUCAAGGGUGGCUUUCUGUCCCGAGGCGGGCUCUCCUGCACAAGAUGGCCGCCACAGCCGCAGUCCUUACGCAUUACGCUUCCACAUCCGCCGGAGGCAGGAAGGAGGCUUUCUCCGCACCUGUCAUUUUGCUUUCCCAGAAGUCACCUCGAUCAAUGUCCUCUCAGAUCCCAUUGGCUAGAAUUGGGUCACAUGACCAUGUAUAGCUGCAAGAGAGGAGAGAAAAGGGGCCAGAAGGCAUUUUCAGCAUCUGAGGGAGAAGCCAUCUGCUGGAGAUCACCUGUUGCCAUGUCAUGAGGAUGCUCAAGCAGCUGUGUGGAGAGGCCCAUCUAGUGAGGAACCCACCCCUUCUGCCAACGGCCAGCGAGGAACUGAUGCCUCCUGCCAAUGGCCGUUUGAGUUGCCAUCUGGGAAGUGGACCCAGUUAAGCCUUCAGAUGACUCUGCACCUGCUGUCAUUCUGAUUUCAGCCUUCUCAGAGAGCCUGAGCAGGAAGCAAUGACUCUUGGAUUCUUGACCCAUAAAACUGCAUAAUGAUAAAUGUUGGUUGUUC